Molecule: unclassified non-coding RNA, 530 nt
Filed under: Zea mays
Lineage: Eukaryota; Viridiplantae; Streptophyta; Magnoliopsida; Poales; Poaceae
Description: misc RNA Zm00001eb106970
Source: RNAcentral
GCAGGAACAAAAAAAAAACCCGGGAUCGGAAGCCGCGGAAAAAGGCGCGCGAUCCACCGACCGACUCCAUCGUCUACCGGUAGGUAGUGCCGUACCGCUACCAGUGCUAUAGCCUGUAGUGGCGGUAGGACUUGAGCAUGGCGCCGCAGAAGGUGCAGAUGAUGGCGCGCCAGGUGCUCCGGUGCACGGUGAGCAGGUAGCAGACCCUGGUGGCGGUCUCCAUGUCCGCCACGCUGGCGCACCCGCCGCAGCGCGAGCAGAUCCCCGCCGCCGGCUUGCUGCUCCGCACCGUCCGCCGCUGGUCCACCAGGAAGCAGAAGAACACCAUCGCUCCUGCACUGCCACUGCACUGCACGCUCCUCCUCCCUGGUUCCUUGGAUUGGAUCGCGCGCUCUCUCCAACAACAACAACAACCGAACAGACACCGUUGUUCUGCUUGCGUGUUGCGCCGCGCGCGCUGGCUGCCGGCGGCAGGUGGCAAUAAUGCGGAGCGAGGCUUGCAAGCAACGGCCGGGCGGGCUAGCUUUUCG